AUUGACUCUCAGCCUUUUGGCUAAGAUCAAGUGUAGUAUCAGUUAUGUUGCGCUGAUUCCUUUAAUCUUUUUUGUCUUUUUCUUCUGAAAUAUUU
RNAcentral lists this small nuclear RNA (95 nucleotides) under Cavia porcellus (domestic guinea pig). Its description in RNAcentral is "U2 spliceosomal RNA". It matches the Rfam family "U2 spliceosomal RNA". Rfam says of the family: U2 is a small nuclear RNA (snRNA) component of the spliceosome (involved in pre-mRNA splicing). Complementary binding between U2 snRNA (in an area lying towards the 5' end but 3' to hairpin I) and the branchpoint sequence (BPS) of the intron results the bulging out of an unpaired adenosine, on the BPS, which initiates a nucleophilic attack at the intronic 5' splice site, thus starting the first of two transesterification reactions that mediate splicing. Lineage: Eukaryota; Metazoa; Chordata; Mammalia; Rodentia; Caviidae. The record is from Rfam by way of RNAcentral.